Molecule: ribosomal RNA, 500 nt
Filed under: uncultured bacterium
Lineage: Bacteria
Description: partial 16S ribosomal RNA
Rfam family: Bacterial small subunit ribosomal RNA
Source: RNAcentral
AUCGAACGCUGGCGGAAUGCUUUACACAUGCAAGUCGAACGGCAGCACGGACUUCGGUCUGGUGGCGAGUGGCGAACGGGUGAGUAAUGUAUCGGAACGUGCCCAGUCGUGGGGGAUAACGUAGUGAAAAUUACGCUAAUACCGCAUACGAUCUAUGGAUGAAAGCGGGGGAUCGCAAGACCUGGCGCGAUUGGAGCGGCCGAUAUCAGAUUAGGUAGUUGGUGGGGUAAAGGCCCACCAAGCCAACGAUCUGUAGCUGGUCUGAGAGGACGACCAGCCACACUGGAACUGAGACACGGUCCAGACUCCUACGGGAGGCAGCGGUGGGGAAUUUUGGACAAUGGGCGAAAGCCUGAUCCAGCCAUUCCGCGUGCAGGAUGAAGGCCCUCGGGUUGUAAACUGCUUUUGUACAGAACGAAAAGGUUUCUACUAAUACUAGGAGCUCAUGACGGUACUGUAAGAAUAAGCACCGGCUAACUACGUGCCAGCCGCCGCCGCAG